GCCGAGGUGGCGGAACGGCAGACGCAGUGGACUUAAAAUCCACCGGGCGAAAGCCCGUGCGGGUUCGAAUCCCGCCCUCGGCA
This 83-nucleotide transfer RNA is filed under the name Chloroflexota bacterium. RNAcentral's name for it is "Chloroflexi bacterium (hot springs metagenome) tRNA-Leu". It matches the Rfam family "tRNA". Rfam says of the family: Transfer RNA (tRNA) molecules are approximately 80 nucleotides in length. Their secondary structure includes four short double-helical elements and three loops (D, anti-codon, and T loops). Further hydrogen bonds mediate the characteristic L-shaped molecular structure. tRNAs have two regions of fundamental functional importance: the anti-codon, which is responsible for specific mRNA codon recognition, and the 3' end, to which the tRNAs corresponding amino acid is attached (by aminoacyl-tRNA synthetases). tRNAs cope with the degeneracy of the genetic code in two manners: having more than one tRNA (with a specific anti-codon) for a particular amino acid; and 'wobble' base-pairing, i.e. permitting non-standard base-pairing at the 3rd anti-codon position. Lineage: Bacteria; Bacillati; Chloroflexota. The record is from RNAcentral.